GACGAACCGUCCAAACGUUAUUCGGAAUCACUGGGCUUAAAGGGUGCGUAGGCGGUCCGGUAAGUUGGGUGUGAAAUACCUCGGCCUAACCGAGGAAUGGCGCCCAAAACUGUCGGACUCGAGGAAGACAGAGGUGAACGGAACUUAGGGUGGAGCGGUGAAAUGCGUUGAUAUCCUAAGGAACACCAGUAGCGAAAGCGGUUCACUGGGUCUUUUCUGACGCUGAUGCACGAAAGCCAGGGGAGCGAACGGG
This 253-nucleotide ribosomal RNA is filed under the name uncultured Rhodopirellula sp. Its description in RNAcentral is "partial 16S ribosomal RNA". It matches the Rfam family "Bacterial small subunit ribosomal RNA", at positions 524 to 776 of the family's 1533-position model. The record is from RNAcentral. Lineage: Bacteria; Pseudomonadati; Planctomycetota; Planctomycetia; Pirellulales; Pirellulaceae.